UCUGCGCUUGCUAAAACCAGUCAGAAUCAGUAAAUAACUCCACUGGCACUACUGGCACUGGGCAAAGAAAACCAGCGCCUGUGGCACCGUGGGCAAGCACUGUGUGUUUUCUUAUUGCUGUACACUGCCAUCCCAGCUAGCCUUCAGCUUACCUCAUGUCUAUCAAUCUACCAGGAAAACAGUCCAAAAUUGGAAGAUUACAAAACAGCUUGUGCCAGAUAACUAAAUUUUUCACUUCCCAGCCUGUCACAAACUGUCCGAGUUUAUUUCUGAUAUGUAUUCCCUCCGCUGUCCCAAACACGAUACAUUAAAGUUGAUGAUUCUGCUGCCUGCACGCAUCACUCAUUCUAAGUUGCAUUAGUUCAGCUCCAAUGUAUUUAAGGACUUAGCAUUAAUUAAAUACGGUUUGUACAGAUUUGUAAAUGUGAAGUGCCAUCUAAAGACUGAGUGUUAAUAAUUGUCAGGCCCUUGUGAAAAUUACUGGAGCACAUCCAUAUUUCCCCCAUCGGCCAGCCUUGAGAAGAAUGCAAAUUCUGCAUCACGAUUUAUCCAGUGGGAGAUGGAGGUGGAUCCUCUGGAGUGAUUUGGGUCCGACACCUGAGUUAGGAGCGAGCUGCAUGCUGCAUUCAGUGGUGCUGAGCACUGCAUAAUCCCCAGCCUCCCCUUCCCGUGCUUCUGCAAGUAACAGGUUGGUGCAUGUAUCACAUCUCACUCUGCACUGCUGUUGCAUCCGCUUGCCAGGCCAAAGGAAACAAAGACUAAGAAGACUGUGAGGCAGAGUGACCCUCCAGGAAGUAGUAGUGGUGGAGAGGAGAGCAAACCAAGAGCUUACUGUUAGACUUUUUCCACACUUAAGGCUCCAGAGGGGGGCCCCAGAGACGGUUGGCUGAGAUGCACAGACCAUAGGCUCCAAUGAUAUUUGGAGGGGAGCAUAACAUUGCAUUUUGGAGCCCUGAGGAUUUCUGUGGAGGCCUUGUCUCAGGGGAUGUUGCUGCAUUGUUUGACAAGUCUGUGUUUCCAGGCAAGCUGAAAUUGUUCUGCAUGGCUCCACAAGUGACCGACUAUCGCAGAAGUUACUGCGGUGUCAGAAGGCUCCCCUCCCCUACCAUUACAUCAGUAGCAUCCUCCAGAAAGCUCUAAUGGACAAGCUCUGCCCUCAGUUGAUGUCUAGUGACAGAUAAUAGCAAGGGGUAGUUAGUAAUUGUUGGAAUUGUGGUUUGGAAAACUGACUGCUGGGCUAAGCCAGGUGGCUUGAAGCUAUAGAUAUACAGAUUUCUUUGCCUCCAACAGCUGGUGAGCACGGUGCAACUCAGCUGCGGAUAUGAGAUUUUUUGCAAAAUCUUUCUUGCUUGUGUUGUUCCGGGAAUAUCAGAAAGACAUGC
RNAcentral lists this long non-coding RNA (1382 nucleotides) under Struthio camelus australis. Its description in RNAcentral is "lncRNA (ENSSCUG00000007701.1)". The record is from RNAcentral. Lineage: Eukaryota; Metazoa; Chordata; Aves; Struthioniformes; Struthionidae.